AUGCCCCAACUAAAUACUACCGUAUGGCCCACCAUAAUUGCCCCCAUACUUCUUACACUAUUCCUCAUCACUCAGCUAAAAAUAUUAAAUACAAAUUACCAUCUACCCCCCUCACCAAAGCCCAUAAAAAUAAAAAACUAUAGUAAACCCUGAGAACCAAAGUGAACGAAAAUCUGUUCGCUUCAUUCAUUGCCCCCACAAU
RNAcentral lists this long non-coding RNA (202 nucleotides) under Homo sapiens (human). RNAcentral's name for it is "non-protein coding lnc-PLGLB2-5:1". The record is from RNAcentral. Lineage: Eukaryota; Metazoa; Chordata; Mammalia; Primates; Hominidae.